AUUGAACGCUGGCGGCAUGCCUUACACAUGCAAGUCGAACGGUAACAGGGAGCUUGCUCCGCUGACGAGUGGCGAACGGGUGAGUAAUGUAUCGGAACGUACCAUUCAGUGGGGGAUAACGUAGCGAAAGUUACGCUAAUACCGCAUAUUCUGUGAGCAGGAAAGCAGGGGAUCGCAAGACCUUGCGCUGAUUGAGCGGCCGAUAUCAGAUUAGCUAGUUGGUGAGGUAAAGGCUCACCAAGGCGACGAUCUGUAGCGGGUCUGAGAGGAUGAUCCGCCACACUGGAACUGAGACACGGUCCAGACUCCUACGGGAGGCAGCAGUGGGGAAUUUUGGACAAUGGGGGCAACCCUGAUCCAGCCAUGCCGCGUGAGGAAGAAGGCCUUCGGUUGUAACUACCUGUCCGAGGGACGAAGUAAGGUAGGACGGUACCGUUAGGGUAGGGAAAGGCCCCGGCCGUAACCUCCGUCGCCACGCAGCCGCGGUAAUAACGGUCUA
RNAcentral lists this ribosomal RNA (499 nucleotides) under uncultured bacterium. Its description in RNAcentral is "bacterial SSU rRNA". It matches the Rfam family "Bacterial small subunit ribosomal RNA", at positions 30 to 533 of the family's 1533-position model. The record is from RNAcentral.